ACUUCCCUCUCCAAAGGCAAUGCCUGCAAGGAAAAAGACAAAAUAGUGGUGAAUCUUUAUCUAACAGCUCACAAGUUUGUGAUAUGGUGGCUGUCCAAACUUCAACAAAUCGUCAAAAGGAGUUCCAAAGUGGGGCAGCAGCUAGGAUAAAAGGGACAUAGUAAUCAAUAUAGAAACUGAAAGUUACUUGAAAUAGGAAUUAAAAUCAGUAUAGAAUAACCUAAAAUCUUCACAUAAAAGUGGCAGCAAAACCCAUGACUCCACAAAACUGUUCCUGUGAACAGUGCCGUGAACAGUACCAAAGCCUUAAUGAAUUGAGAUUUCUGAUACCAUAUUAAGAGUUUAAGAACUAGAAGAAUAAGAAAGAAAGAAACAAAGAAAGA
Molecule: unclassified non-coding RNA, 383 nt
Filed under: Hevea brasiliensis (rubber tree)
Lineage: Eukaryota; Viridiplantae; Streptophyta; Magnoliopsida; Malpighiales; Euphorbiaceae
Source: RNAcentral